This 386-nucleotide ribosomal RNA is filed under the name uncultured bacterium. Its description in RNAcentral is "bacterial SSU rRNA". It matches the Rfam family "Bacterial small subunit ribosomal RNA", at positions 28 to 417 of the family's 1533-position model. The record is from RNAcentral.
GACGAACGCUGGCGGCGUGCUUAACACAUGCAAGUCGAACGGAUCAGGGAGCUUGCUUCCUGGUUAGUGGCGAACGGGUGAGUAACACGUGAGCAAUCUGCCCUUGACUCUGGGAUAACUGCGGGAAACUGUAGCUAAUACCGGAUAUGACAGCCGACGGCAUCGUCUGGUUGUGGAAAGAAUUUCGGUCAGGGAUGAGCUCGCGGCCUAUCAGCUUGUUGGGAGGUAAUGGCUCACCAAGGCGACGACGGGUAGCCGGCCUGAGAGGGUGACCGGCCACACUGGGACUGAGACACGGCCCAGACUCCUACGGGAGGCAGCAGUGGGGAAUAUUGCACAAUGGGCGAAAGCCUGAUGCAGCAACGCCGCGUGAGGGACGACGGCCU